RNAcentral lists this unclassified non-coding RNA (277 nucleotides) under sea anemone metagenome. Its description in RNAcentral is "partial contains small subunit ribosomal RNA and internal transcribed spacer 1". The stretch from base 1 to 158 matches the Rfam family "Eukaryotic small subunit ribosomal RNA", at positions 1678 to 1831 of the family's 1831-position model. The record is from RNAcentral.
GCUACUACCGAUUGAAUGGUUUAGUGAGGACUCCUGAUUGGCGCCGCCGCCCCGGCAACGGAGCAUCGGACUGCCGAAAAGUUGUUCAAACUUGAUCAUUUAGAGGAAGUAAAAGUCGUAACAAGGUUUCCGUAGGUGAACCUGCAGAAGGAUCAAGUUCGCAAGAGCGUCGUGUAGUGAACGCGUUUAGAUCUCUGUUUUCGCCGUCUCAUUAUCCAACCCUUUUCCUUUCUCUCUCUUCUCUCUUUCUUCCCUCUCUUCCUCCCUCCUCUCCUCU